UGCCUAAUACAUGCAAGUCGAGCGUUCCCUUCGGGGAUAGCGGCGGACGGGUGAGUAACACGUAGGCAACCUGCCUGUAAGACUGGGAUAACUAUCGGAAACGAUAGCUAAGACCGGAUAACUGGAUCUUUCGCAUGAGAGAUUCAUGAAACGCGGAGCAAUCUGUGGCUUAUAGAUGGGCCUGCGGCGCAUUAGCUAGUAGGUGAGGUAACGGCUCACCUAGGCGACGAUGCGUAGCCGACCUGAGAGGGUGAUCGGCCACACUGGGACUGAGACACGGCCCAGACUCCUACGGGAGGCAGCAGUAGGGAAUCUUCCGCAAUGGACGCAAGUCUGACGGAGCAACGCCGCGUGAGUGAUGAAGGUUUUCGGAUCGUAAAGCUCUGUUGCCAGGGAAGAACGCUUAGGAGAGUAACUGCUCCUAAGGUGACGGUACCUGAGAAGAAAGCCCCGGCUAACUACGUGCCAGCAGCCGCGGUAAUACGUAGGGGGCAAGCGUUGUCCGGAAUUAUUGGGCGUAAAGCGCGCGCAGGCGGUUAGGUAAGUUUGGUGUUUAAUUCCGGGGCUCAACCCCGGGUCGCACUGAAAACUGCUUAACUUGAGUGCGGGAGAGGAAAGUGGA
Molecule: ribosomal RNA, 622 nt
Filed under: uncultured bacterium
Lineage: Bacteria
Description: bacterial SSU rRNA
Rfam family: Bacterial small subunit ribosomal RNA
Source: RNAcentral